This 25-nucleotide small nuclear RNA is filed under the name Arabidopsis thaliana (thale cress). Its description in RNAcentral is "snRNA_09190". The record is from RNAcentral. Lineage: Eukaryota; Viridiplantae; Streptophyta; Magnoliopsida; Brassicales; Brassicaceae.
AAUAAGUGUCACAAUCUUCCGACAA